AUCCAGCUGAUGAGUCCGAAGUAGGACGAAAUGCGCGUUAUCCUGGAU
RNAcentral lists this non-coding RNA (48 nucleotides) under Trichobilharzia regenti. The record is from RNAcentral. Lineage: Eukaryota; Metazoa; Platyhelminthes; Trematoda; Strigeidida; Schistosomatidae.